Molecule: non-coding RNA, 130 nt
Organism: Hypoxylon sp. NC1633
Lineage: Eukaryota; Fungi; Ascomycota; Sordariomycetes; Xylariales; Hypoxylaceae
Source: the annotation of a GenBank genome assembly
GCCCGGUUAGCUCAAUCGGUAGAGCGUGAGACUCUUAAUCUCAAGGUUGCGGGUAAGUCUAUAUGACUCAGCUUCACACCACGCGCCUGUAUUAACCUUCCUGUCAUAGGUUCGACCCCCGCAUCGGGCU